GCCAGACUCCUACGGGAGGCAGCAGUGGGGAAUAUUGGGCAAUGGGCGCAAGCCUGACCCAGCAACGCCGCGUGAAGGAAGAAGGCUUUCGGGUUGUAAACUUCUUUUAAGAGGGAAGAGCAGAAGACGGUACCUCUUGAAUAAGCCACGGCUAACUACGUGCCAGCAGCCGCGGUAAUACGUAGGUGGCAAGCGUUGUCCGGAUUUACUGGGUGUAAAGGGCGUGCAGCCGGGAAGACAAGUCAGAUGUGAAAUCCCGCGGCUCAACCGCGGAACUGCAUUUGAAACUGUUUUUCUUGAGUACCGGAGAGGUCAUCGGAAUUCCUUGUGUAGCGGUGAAAUGCAUAGAUAUCGCGCAGAACUCCGAUUGCGAAGGCAGCGUACCGGCGCCGGACUGACGCUGAGGCACGAAAGCGUGGGUAUCGAACAGGAUUAGAUACCCGCGUA
This 447-nucleotide ribosomal RNA is filed under the name uncultured bacterium. RNAcentral's name for it is "bacterial SSU rRNA". It matches the Rfam family "Bacterial small subunit ribosomal RNA", at positions 330 to 792 of the family's 1533-position model. The record is from RNAcentral.